AUGAUGCGGGGGGAGGAGCUGUCCCCCUGGACACUCUCUGCUCCAGGCUGGGGAUGCUCUGGAGGGGGGGCCUUUGGCAGGAUGGGAAUGUCCCUGUCCUCACCUCCUCCUUGCCUGCAGGGGGACCCGGGAAAGCAGGGAGAUCCUGGACGGGAUGGGCUGCCUGGGCUGCGUGGGGAGCAGGGGCCACCUGGCCCCGUGGGUCCCCUUGGACCACCUGGCGUGCCUGGCAAACCCGGUGAGGAUGGCAAACCUGGCCUGAAUGGCAAGAAUGGAGAAGAUGGUACACCAGGAGAGGAUGGGAGAAAGGGAGACAAAGGCGAUACAGGACUACCUGGGAGAGAGGUGAGUACUCCCCAAAGAGGAGUGUGUGAUGGGGAGUGCUGGGUACAUGCCCCAUCAGGGACAGACCUGGGUCCCACAUUCUGGGGGUCAUACUGCUCUCUCGGCAGGGCCGCAGCGGUGCCAAGGGCGAGCAGGGGGACAGAGGUGUGCCAGGCCCCCUGGGCCCCCCUGGCCUUCCUGGUGUCCCAGGGCAGGUUGGCCCCCCAGGCCAGGUGUGUAGUUCUCAACCCCAUGGUGCCACUCAGCACCAGACCCUGGAGUCUGGAGUGCUCUGAGGCAGGCAGGACCCCCAUCCAUGGCUCCCUCAGGACACUGCUCUGUGUCCAUGGGGACAGGGUGCUAUUGUGUCACCUCCAUGUCUUCUAG
This 711-nucleotide long non-coding RNA is filed under the name Cyanistes caeruleus (blue tit). RNAcentral's name for it is "lncRNA (ENSCCEG00000021978.1)". The record is from RNAcentral. Lineage: Eukaryota; Metazoa; Chordata; Aves; Passeriformes; Paridae.